CCCUACCUGAGGGUGGGGCCGCAGGGCCCCCCCAGGAAGCGGUGCAGGUCGCCGUGCUCCAUGUACUCGGUGAUGAUGCAGAGGGGCCCCCCCGGCCCCGAGCACACCCCCAGGAGCCGCACGAUGUUGGGGUCUCGCAGGCGGCCCAGGGUGCGUGCCUCCUGCAGGAAGUCCCUCCUGCGGGCGCGGGGCAUUGCAUGGACCCGUUGCAGCGUUGCAAACCCCAUUGCACCGCUGCAAACCCCAUUGCAUUGCAUGGGGCCGUUGCACGCCCAUUGCACCGUUGCAAACCCCAUUGCACCAUUGCAAACCCCAUUGCAUUGCAUGGGGCCGUUGCACGCCCAUUGUACCAUUGCAAACCCCACUGCACCAUUGCAAACCCCAUUGCACCACUGCAAACCCCAUUGCAUUGCAUGGGGCCAUUGCACGCCCAUUGCACCAUUGCAAACCCCAUUGCACCAUUGCAAACCCCACUGCAUUGCAUGGUGCCAUUGCACGCCCAUUGUACCAUUGCAAACCCCACUGCACCAUUGCAAACCCCACUGCACCAUUGCAAACCCCACUGCACCACUGCAAACCCCCUUGCAUUGCAUGGAGACAUUGCACACCCACUACACUAUUGCAAACCCCAUUGCACCAUUGCAAACGCCAUUUCACCAUUGCAAACCCCAUUGCAUUGCAUGGUGCCAUUGCACGCCCAUUGCACCAUUGCAAACCCCACUGCACCAUUGCAAACCCCACUGCACUGCUGCAAACCCCACUGCAUUGCAUGGUGCCGUUGCACACCCAUUGCACCAUUGCAAACCCCAUUGCAUUGCAUGGGGCCGUUGCACGCCCAUUGCACCAUUGCAAACCCCACUGCACCAUUGCAAACCUCACUGCACUGCAUGGUGCAUUGCAUGGUGCCAUUGCACGCCCACUGCACCACUGCAAAACCCAUUGCAUUGCAUGGUGCCAUUGCACACCCAUUGCACCAUUGCACACCUAUUGCACCAUUGCAAACCCAAUUGCAUUGCAUGGUGCCAUUGCACACCCAUUGCAACAUUGCAAACCCCAUUGCACCGCUGCAAACCCCCUUGCAUUGCAUGGUGCCAUUGCACACCCAUUGCACCAUUGCAAACCCCAUUGCACUGCUGCAAACCCCCUUGCAUUGCAUGGUGCCGUUGCACACCCAUUGCACCACUGCAAACCCCCUUGCAUUGCCUGGUGCCAUUGCACGCCCAACUGCAAAACCCGUUGCACAUUUCCAAGACCCACUCUGCAUUUGCAAACCCCUUGCACUGCACAGGGACCAUUGCACGCCCCCCACAUUGCACGGGGGCACUGCACGUUUGCAAUGCAUUAUCCCCCCCCCCCCACUUUGCACUUUUNNNNNN
This 1376-nucleotide long non-coding RNA is filed under the name Numida meleagris (helmeted guineafowl). Its description in RNAcentral is "lncRNA (ENSNMEG00000002043.1)". The record is from RNAcentral. Lineage: Eukaryota; Metazoa; Chordata; Aves; Galliformes; Numididae.